Molecule: non-coding RNA, 73 nt
Organism: Phrynosoma platyrhinos (Desert horned lizard)
Lineage: Eukaryota; Metazoa; Chordata; Lepidosauria; Squamata; Phrynosomatidae
Source: the annotation of a GenBank genome assembly
GCCAGUGUAGUGUAAUGGUUUGAGUGUUGGACUAGUACACCAGAAGACCAUGGUUCAAAUCCCGGCUUGGUCA